ACCGUAGGGGAACCUGCGGUUGGAUCACCUCCUUACCUAAAGAUAUUAGUUCGAGUGGCGUGCUCACACAGAUUGUCUGAUAGAAAGUAACGAGCAGAAAUACCUUUAUAGGCUUGUAGCUCAGGUGGUUAGAGCGCACCCCUGAUAAGGGUGAGGUCGGUGGUUCAAGUCCACUCAGGCCUACCACUUCUCGGAAGUGGAAAAGGUACUGCGCGUGACUGUAUGGGGCUAUAGCUCAGCUGGGAGAGCGCCUGCCUUGCACGCAGGAGGUCAGCGGUUCGAUCCCGCUUAGCUCCACCAUAUAGUCCGGUAUUUAAUACUUCAGAGUAUAUUGGCGACAGUAUGCUGCGAAGUAUUUUGCUCUUUAACAAUCUGGAACAAGCUGAAAAUUGAAACAUGACGGCUGAAAUUUAUCCCUCCGUAGACGUAUUGGGAUGAAGAGUAACCUGUCAUAGAGUCUCUCAAAUGUUUGCAGCGCGAACGAUGGAAACAUCUUCGGGUUGUGAGGUUAAGUGACUAAGCGUACACGGUGGAUGCCUAGGCAGUCAGAGGCGAUGAAGGGCGUGCUAAUCUGCGAAAAGCGUCGGUAAGGUGAUAUGAACCGUUAUAACCGGCGAUACCCGAAUGGGGAAACCCAGUGUGUUUCGACACAUUAUCAUGUCAUGAAUACAUAGUGGCAUGAGGCGAACCGGGG
This 694-nucleotide unclassified non-coding RNA is filed under the name Serratia marcescens. RNAcentral's name for it is "partial contains 16S ribosomal RNA and 16S-23S ribosomal RNA intergenic spacer". The stretch from base 507 to 694 matches the Rfam family "Bacterial large subunit ribosomal RNA", at positions 1 to 189 of the family's 2925-position model. Lineage: Bacteria; Pseudomonadati; Pseudomonadota; Gammaproteobacteria; Enterobacterales; Yersiniaceae. The record is from RNAcentral.